This 326-nucleotide small RNA is filed under the name uncultured bacterium. Its description in RNAcentral is "bacterial SSU rRNA". The stretch from base 1 to 281 matches the Rfam family "Bacterial small subunit ribosomal RNA", at positions 69 to 350 of the family's 1533-position model. The record is from RNAcentral.
GGCUUUCUUCUUCGGGAGGGGGCCGAGUGGCGGACGGGUGAGUAGCACGUGGAUGACGUGCCCUGAUGUGGGGGAUACCCUUCAGAAAUGAGGGUUAAUACCGCAUACGAUCGUCUGGGUCAAGCCGGGCGAGGAAAGGCUUCGGCCGCUAGAGGAGGGGCUUGCGGCCUAUCAGGUAGUUGGUGGGGUAAUGGCCUACCAAGCCGAGGGCGAGUAGCUGGUCUUAGAGGACGAUCAGCCAGACGGGGAUUGAUUUCCGGCCCCGACGAAUACGCGAGGCAUUCUNCUCGAUCUUGCUGGUAACUCANUCCUCCCGGAGAUCUGCG